This 250-nucleotide ribosomal RNA is filed under the name uncultured bacterium. RNAcentral's name for it is "partial 16S ribosomal RNA". It matches the Rfam family "Bacterial small subunit ribosomal RNA", at positions 779 to 1026 of the family's 1533-position model. The record is from RNAcentral.
UAGAUACCCUGGUAGUCCACGCCGUAAACGAUGGAUACUAGGUGUAGGAGGUAUCGACCCCUCCUGUGCCGGAGUUAACGCAAUAAGUAUCCCGCCUGGGAAGUACGAUCGCAAGAUUAAAACUCAAAGGAAUUGACGGGGGCCCGCACAAGCGGUGGAGUAUGUGGUUUAAUUCGACGCAACGCGAAGAACCUUACCAAGCCUUGACAUUGAUCGCAAUCCAUAGAAAUAUGGAGUUCUUCUUCGGAAG